Molecule: non-coding RNA, 379 nt
Organism: Biomphalaria pfeifferi
Lineage: Eukaryota; Metazoa; Mollusca; Gastropoda; Planorbidae
Source: the annotation of a GenBank genome assembly
CCACUAGACUUGUUCAGCACUAGACUUGUUCAGCACUAGACUUGUUCAUCCCUCUGUCCGUUGUGAUAUCUUUGUGCUGAUUUUCGUCCCCAUUACUCUCUAGAAAUUCUGUUUCACUUAUAUCGUGUAUGAUUCUUGGUAGUUUCUACAGGAAAUUGGUUGGAAAAAGUGACGUAACACUGUACUGCAUGAAGAGAAGUCUCAAAAAGCCCAACCACAAAGAUCCUGUUUGUGACAGUGGGUGUACAGUCUACAAUCUGACAUCAUUAAAUGUCUGUUAUCACAAUGGUAGCCAGUGAAUAUAAGCCUAGCCUACUUCUCGUCUGUUGCUGAUGUCAAUCAAUAUUGGCUUCUUCACUGACAUUUUUUUUUUGCCUAA